Long non-coding RNA from Lycium ferocissimum, 996 nucleotides. RefSeq lists it as uncharacterized. The record is from RefSeq and is a predicted model, not a curated record. Lineage: Eukaryota; Viridiplantae; Streptophyta; Magnoliopsida; Solanales; Solanaceae. The transcript is spliced from 2 exons.
AUUGGUUCCACAAAAAACAUGACUAUUAUAGUGAAAUGUUGUUUAGAAGAUGAUUGUUAUAGAGGUCUGACUCUAUAUACAAUUUAAAAAAUACAUGAAUUAUACAUAUAUUAUACAUCCGCCGACAAUUUUUAAUUUAAGUGAUUGGGUGGAUGACUAUUUAGAUUUAACUGUUCAUAUUAUUAAGGAAUUUGUGGACACCACCAAUAUAUGAUGGGCCACAAAAAUAUAAUCUAAAAAUGAGAAAGUAAAGGCAAUUAAGCAAAGGACCUUUUUUGCAACAAAAAACAUUCUCCGAAGCCCUAUAAAUAAAGGUCUCUACAAGAGAAGUAGAGCAACCAAAACAAAAAAAACAAAAAAAAAACUCUGCAACUUUUUAUCAUCAUUAGUGUUAAAAUGGCUGGUGCACCUUCAUCACUUAAUUUGGGUCUGGUUUUCAAAGUUCUCCUUGUAAUUGUUGUAUUGACUUGGUCACAAGUGAUCAUGGCUAUGAGAGACAUGCCUGAGGAAUUAAAAGAACUCCGACAAAGGCUAACUCUAAGUGAUAUUUAUACUUGUGGCAAACACUGCAACACCAAUGCUGAUUGUAGUGAAGCAUGGGCUUGUAAAACAUGCAGAUAUUUUGGAUAUAUACCUACACAAUGUGAUUGGGUGUGGAGCUUUUAGAUGAAUUAAUUAAGAAUUAAGAUAUAUAUUGUUAAAUCCUGCAUAAUUAUGAAGUGUGUGAUAAAUUAAAAAUAGAUCCACUUUAAUUAAUUAUAAUCUAAUGUUGUAUAGAUUACUAUUAAAUAAUUUAGCUGCAUUUCUGAUGCUAGCUAAAAGUCAUGUGGGGGUAAUUGUACUAGUCGUGUACUAAAUAUUGUGAUGUUUGAAUGCUAGUUUGUUUGAUCUAUUAUGGUUUGUACUUAUUGUGAAAUAUGGAGAGAAAAAAAAGUUUGUGUUUUAAUAUCCCAUUUAGGGAAUUGUUAUAUUAAUGAAAUAUGGAUAAUGCCUUGA